This is an RNA transcript of Syzygium oleosum, 1504 nucleotides long. RefSeq lists it as uncharacterized. The record is from RefSeq and is a predicted model, not a curated record. The transcript is spliced from 8 exons. NCBI's taxonomy places the organism in Eukaryota, Viridiplantae, Streptophyta, Magnoliopsida, Myrtales, Myrtaceae.
UAGAAAAACUAUAUAAAUAUGAUGAAGUUAUAAGGAUGCCAAUGUAUUUAUCAGACUUAAUACUCCAUCAGAUCGAGCGGGGAUGGACAUAGCUCUCUUCUCUCCGUCUUCUCUCUUCGCCGACCCUGACGACUCUUCCUCUGAGGAGCAGCAUGAGUCCGAGACUCCACAGAGCUACGCGGAGAGGACGCACCGGUUUCCCGGAAUGGAUUUGGUCAUCCGGGAGUUUUCAUUCCACCAGCUGAAUGCUAAUCUUUUGUGGCCGGGGACGUUCGCAUUUGCUGAAUGGUUAGUUCAGCACCGGACAUGGAUUGAAGGACGGCGCAUCAUUGAGCUUGGCAGUGGAACUGGAGCUCUGGCCAUCUUUCUGCAAAAAUCUUUUAGUCUUGACAUCACCACAUCAGACUACGAUGACCUGGAGAUUGAAGAGAAUAUAGCGCGUAACUGCAAGAUUAACGGAAUUACACCUGUCCUUCCUCAUAUCAAACAUUCAUGGGGAGACACCUUUCCCGUUGGUGAGCCACAUUGGGACCUGGUCAUUGCUAGUGACAUUUUGUUAUAUGUGAAGCAGUACCAGAAACUGAUAACGACUCUCUGCUUUCUCCUGAAAAAUUAUAAGCCAAGAACUGACAGGGCUGAUGUCAUGGAGACCAGUCAGAAAGCAGGAUCUAACGUUGGGUUUCCACGGCCAGCAUUUCUUAUGAGUUGGCGACGCAGAAUUGGAAAAGAAGAUGAGUCUCUCUUCUUCAAUGGUUGUGAGGAUGCUGGACUAGAAGUGGAGCAUAUUGGCUCCAGGGUAUACUGUAUCAAACCUAGAGACUAGAGAAUUGAGAUAAACUGAGGUGGAUGGUUAAUACUUGAUAGAUAUGUAUCGACAAGCGACACGAUCAACGUGACUAGGAAAAGGGCCUGCUUUCGGGCACUAUUUAAUAUAACAGGAGGUAAAAGAUAACUACGCAGCUGAAUCUGGAGGAUGAAUCACAGGUUAGUCUCUACUGAGAAAAGGUUUUGGCAUUUUUAACUCUGUCGGCUCUCCGAUUUUUUAGCUUGACUAUAACCCCCUUUAAUAGGUGCAAUGGGCAUUUCGUCUGGUUACGGUCUUUACAUAAUGCGGAAGUAAUUUCCCAGCAUGAUAGCUAUUGUGAAUAUCAUACUUUCAUUCUGGGAAACAAAAACUUCUUUCACAUUUACAGAAGAUAGACAUGUCUAAUGGCUCACUUUGGACACCUUUGAAUGCCUUACUUCCACAUUGAGAUCUAAAGUUGGAACCCUCGACCUCUUUUCUUCUAGCUGGAGAUGAAGUCUAGACAAUAGCCCUUUUCAGCUUGAAUGACAGAUUCAUCUAAUAGUAACUCGAAUCCGGCCUAUGAAUGUAGAAUGAUAUUCAUCCUAGUCUUUAUACAGAUAAACCAGUUAGAACCCUACUGUGUUCAAAGAUCCAUUCAUUCAUUCAGUUACUUAUCAUUUCUUGUCACUUGUCAGUCUGGUUCAGUUCCACUUGUAA